Molecule: ribosomal RNA, 468 nt
Filed under: uncultured bacterium
Lineage: Bacteria
Description: partial 16S ribosomal RNA
Rfam family: Bacterial small subunit ribosomal RNA
Source: RNAcentral
GACGAACGCUGGCGGCGUGCUUAACACAUGCAAGUCGAACGGAAAGGCCCUGCUUUUGUGGGGUGCUCGAGUGGCGAACGGGGGAGUAACACGUGUGUAACCUGCCCUUGACUUUGGGAUAACUUCAGGAAACUGGGGCUAAGACCGGAUAGGAGCUACUGCUCCAUGGUGGGGGUUGGAAAGUUUCGGCGGUUGGGGAUGGACUCGCGGCUUAUCAGCUUGUUGGUGGGGUAGUGGCUUACGAAGCCUUUGACGGGUAGCCGGCAGGGGAGAGGGACCGGCGACCAGGCGCCUAAGAUACGCAGCAGUGUGGAAUGGUAGGCAGCGGUGGGGAGUCUUACACAGUGGGACCAAGUCUGUGACGACGACCCUGCGUGCGUGAUGCCGUCUUUCUGGUUGUAAACAGCUUUCGCCUGAGACGACGCGGGAGUGACGGUACUGGAUAAAGAAGCACCGGCUAACUACGUG